UUCCGGUUGAUCCCGCCGGACCUGACUGCUAUCAGAUUGAUACUAAGCCAUGCGAGUCAUUGUAGCAAUACAAGGCAGACGGCUCAGUAACGCGUAGUCAACCUAACCUAUGGACGGGAAUAACCUCGGGAAACUGAGAAUAAUGCCCGAUAGAACACUAUACCUGGAAUGGUUUGUGUUCCAAAUGAUUUAUCGCCGUAGGAUGGGACUGCGGCCUAUCAGUUUGUUGGUGAGGUAAUGGCCCACCAAGACUAUUACAGGUACGGGCUCUGAGAGGAGUAGCCCGGAGAUGGGUACUGAGACACGGACCCAGGCCCUAUGGGGCGCAGCAGGCGAGAAAACUUUGCAAUGUGCGAAAGCACGACAAGGUUAAUCCGAGUGAUUUGUGCUAAACGAAUCUUUUGUUAGUCCUAGAACCACUAACGAAUAAGGGGUGGGCAAGUUCUGGUGUCAGCCGCCGCGGUAAAACCAGCACCUCAAGUGGUCAGGAUGAUUAUUGGGCCUAAAGCAUCCGUAGCCGGCUCUGUAAGUUUUCGGUUAAAUCUGUACGCUUAACGUACAGGCUGCCGGGAAUACUGCAGAGCUAGGGAGUGGGAGAGGUAGACGGUACUCGGUAGGAAGGGUAAAAUCCUUUGAUCUAUUGAUGACCACCUGUGGC
This 658-nucleotide ribosomal RNA is filed under the name uncultured archaeon. RNAcentral describes it as "bacterial SSU rRNA". It matches the Rfam family "Archaeal small subunit ribosomal RNA", at positions 1 to 667 of the family's 1478-position model. The record is from RNAcentral.